This 75-nucleotide transfer RNA is filed under the name Rhodococcoides fascians. Its description in RNAcentral is "tRNA-Val". It matches the Rfam family "tRNA". Rfam says of the family: Transfer RNA (tRNA) molecules are approximately 80 nucleotides in length. Their secondary structure includes four short double-helical elements and three loops (D, anti-codon, and T loops). Further hydrogen bonds mediate the characteristic L-shaped molecular structure. tRNAs have two regions of fundamental functional importance: the anti-codon, which is responsible for specific mRNA codon recognition, and the 3' end, to which the tRNAs corresponding amino acid is attached (by aminoacyl-tRNA synthetases). tRNAs cope with the degeneracy of the genetic code in two manners: having more than one tRNA (with a specific anti-codon) for a particular amino acid; and 'wobble' base-pairing, i.e. permitting non-standard base-pairing at the 3rd anti-codon position. Lineage: Bacteria; Bacillati; Actinomycetota; Actinomycetes; Mycobacteriales; Nocardiaceae. The record is from RNAcentral. RNAcentral also lists the same sequence under 84 other names.
GGGCGUAUAGCUCAGCGGUAGAGCUCUGGUUUUACACACCAGCGGUCGGGGGUUCGAACCCCUCUGCGCCCACCA